RNAcentral lists this ribosomal RNA (397 nucleotides) under Stramenopiles sp. MAST-12B. Its description in RNAcentral is "partial small subunit ribosomal RNA". It matches the Rfam family "Eukaryotic small subunit ribosomal RNA", at positions 582 to 975 of the family's 1831-position model. The record is from RNAcentral.
AUUCCAGCUCCAAUAGCGUAUACUAAUGUUGUUGCAGUUAAAAAGCUCGUAGUUGAAUUUCUGGUUGUCGACUUAUGGUCCUGCGCCUCGUGCGUUUUGGUACCGUUUUUGUCGACGCCUUCUUAGUCGUGAUUGCUUCUGGCAUUAGGUUGUCGGUUUUAGGAGCGGCUUCGUUUACUGUGAUAACAAAUAGAGUGUUCAAAGCAGACAUUACGUCUUGAAUGCUUCAGCAUGGAAUAAAAAGAUAGGACAGCGGUACUAUUUUAUUGGUAUGUAUACCGUAGUAAUGAUUAAUAGGGAUAGUUGGGGGUAUUCAUAUUUGAUUGUCAGAGGUGAAAUUCUUGGAUUUAUGAAAGAUGAACUUAUGCGAAAGCAUUUAUCAAGGAUGUUUUCAUCG